ACAGCAGGACGGUCUGUCGCUCGUAUGAUGCGAGAGGAAAGUCCGGGCAACAUAGAGCACCAUAUUUCCUAACGGGAAGCCAUUCGCGAGAGUGGAGUAGCGUAACAGAAAAUAACCGCUGCGAAAGCAGUAAGGGUGAAAAGGUGAGGUAAGAGCUCACCGGGUUUUACAGUAAUGUAGAAUGCCGUACGUCUUAUGGGUUGUAAGGUUAUGUAUACCGGCGUUGUAGGGUUGCUCGCCCGAUGCCGGGGGGUAAACCGCUAGAGCCUUGUGGUGACACAGGGUCGAGAUAAAUGACAGACACUCUUUCGAGAGUACAUAACCCGGCUUACAGGCCUGCUGUAUUU
Molecule: non-coding RNA, 347 nt
Organism: Bacteroides sp. CAG:20
Lineage: Bacteria; Pseudomonadati; Bacteroidota; Bacteroidia; Bacteroidales; Bacteroidaceae
Source: Rfam